Molecule: transfer RNA, 89 nt
Filed under: Fidelibacterota bacterium
Lineage: Bacteria; Pseudomonadati; Fidelibacterota
Description: tRNA-Ser
Rfam family: tRNA
About the family: Transfer RNA (tRNA) molecules are approximately 80 nucleotides in length. Their secondary structure includes four short double-helical elements and three loops (D, anti-codon, and T loops). Further hydrogen bonds mediate the characteristic L-shaped molecular structure. tRNAs have two regions of fundamental functional importance: the anti-codon, which is responsible for specific mRNA codon recognition, and the 3' end, to which the tRNAs corresponding amino acid is attached (by aminoacyl-tRNA synthetases). tRNAs cope with the degeneracy of the genetic code in two manners: having more than one tRNA (with a specific anti-codon) for a particular amino acid; and 'wobble' base-pairing, i.e. permitting non-standard base-pairing at the 3rd anti-codon position.
Source: RNAcentral
GGAGAGAUGGCAGAGCCUGGUUGAAUGCACUGAACUCGAAAUUCAGCGUGCCCUUGCGGGCACCGGGGGUUCGAAUCCCUCUCUCUCCG